GUACACACCGCCCGUCACACCAUGGGAGUCGUUUGCUCCAGAAGUGCCUACGCCAACCGCAAGGAGGCAGGGCCCCAAGGAGUGAACGGUAACUGGGGUGAAGUCGUAACAAGGURKCCGUAGGUGAACCUGCAGAAGGAUCA
This 143-nucleotide ribosomal RNA is filed under the name uncultured eukaryote. Its description in RNAcentral is "partial small subunit ribosomal RNA". The record is from RNAcentral.